UUGUUGGUGAGGUAAAGGCUUACCAAGGCUUCGAUCAGUAGCUGGUCUGAGAGGACGACCAGCCACACUGGGAUUGAGACACGGCCCAGACUCCUACGGGAGGCAGCAGUGGGGAAUUUUGGACAAUGGGGGAAACCCUGAUCCAGCCAUGCCGCGUGAGUGAAGAAGGCCUUCGGGUUGUAAAGCUCUUUCAGCCGGAACGAAACGGUUACGAUUAAUACCUGUAACUACUGACGGUACCGGAAGAAGAAGCACCGGCUAACUACGUGCCAGCAGCCGCGGUAAUACGUAGGGUGCGAGCGUUAAUCGGAAUUACUGGGCGUAAAGCGUGCGCAGGUGGUUUUGUAAGUCAGAUGUGAAAUCCCCGGGCUUAACCUGGGAACUGCGUUUGAAACUACAAGGCUAGAGUGUGGCAGAGGGGGGUGGAAUUCCGCGUGUAGCAGUGAAAUGCGUAGAGAUGUGGAGGAACACCGAUGGCGAAGGCAGCCCCCUGGGUCAACACUGACGCUCAGGCACGAAAGCAUGGGGAGCAAACAGGAUUAGAUACCCUGGUAGUCCAUGCCCUAAACGAUGUCAACUAGUUGUCGGGUCUUAACGGGCUUGGUAACGUAGCUAACGCGUGAAGUUGACCGCCUGGGGAGUACGAUCGCAAGAUUAAAACUCAAAGGAAUUGACGGGGACCCGCACAAGCGGUGGAUUAUGUGGAUUAAUUCGAUGCAACGCGAAAAACCUUACCUACCCUUGACAUGUAUUGGAGCCCGCAGAGAUGUGGGUGUGCCCGAAAGGGAACGAUAACACAGGUGCUGCAUGGCUGUCGUCAGCUCGUGUCGUGAGAUGUUGGGUUAAGUCCCGCAACGAGCGCAACCCUUGUCAUUAAUUGCCAUCAUUUAGUUGGGCACUUUAAUGAGACCGCCGG
This 916-nucleotide ribosomal RNA is filed under the name uncultured bacterium. Its description in RNAcentral is "bacterial SSU rRNA". It matches the Rfam family "Bacterial small subunit ribosomal RNA", at positions 246 to 1155 of the family's 1533-position model. The record is from RNAcentral.